RNAcentral lists this transfer-messenger RNA (363 nucleotides) under Salmonella enterica. RNAcentral describes it as "Standard tmRNA". It matches the Rfam family "transfer-messenger RNA". Rfam says of the family: Bacterial tmRNA, also known as 10Sa RNA or SsrA, is named for its dual tRNA and mRNA-like properties. Its role is to liberate the mRNA from a stalled ribosome. The record is from RNAcentral. Lineage: Bacteria; Pseudomonadati; Pseudomonadota; Gammaproteobacteria; Enterobacterales; Enterobacteriaceae. RNAcentral also lists the same sequence under 1 other name.
GGGGCUGAUUCUGGAUUCGACGGGAUUUGCGAAACCCAAGGUGCAUGCCGAGGGGCGGUUGGCCUCGUAAAAAGCCGCAAAAAAAUAGUCGCAAACGACGAAACCUACGCUUUAGCAGCUUAAUAACCUGCUUAGAGCCCUCUCUCCCUAGCCUCCGCUCUUAGGACGGGGAUCAAGAGAGGUCAAACCCAAAAGAGAUCGCGCGGAUGCCCUGCCUGGGGUUGAAGCGUUAAAACGAAUCAGGCUAGUCUGGUAGUGGCGUGCCCGUCCGCAGGUGCCAGGCGAAUGUAAAGACUGACUAAGCAUGUAGUACCGAGGAUGUAGGAAUUUCGGACGCGGGUUCAACUCCCGCCAGCUCCACCA